GUGAGGAAUCUUGCACAAUGGGGGAAACCCUGAUGCAGCGACACCGCGUGCGGGAAGACGGCCUUCGGGUUGUAAACCGCUUUUCCGGGGGACGAGAACGGACGGUACCCUGGGAAUAAGUCCCGGCUAACUACGUGCCAGCAGCCGCGGUAAAACGUAGGGGGCGAGCGUUAUCCGGAAUUACUGGGCGUAAAGGGCGUCUAGGCGGCCACUUAAGUCUCAUGUGAAAGCUCCCGGCUCAACUGGGAGAGGGCGUGGGAAACUGGGUGGCUAGAGGAUCGGAGGGGGGCGUGGAAUUCCCGGUGGAGUGGUGGAAUGCGUUGAGAUCGGGAGGAACACCAGAAGCGAAGGCGGCGCCCUGGCCGAUCACUGACGCUGAAGCGCGAAAGCGUGGGGAGCGAACGGGAUUAGAUACCCCAGUAGUCC
RNAcentral lists this ribosomal RNA (426 nucleotides) under uncultured bacterium. Its description in RNAcentral is "bacterial SSU rRNA". It matches the Rfam family "Bacterial small subunit ribosomal RNA", at positions 354 to 796 of the family's 1533-position model. The record is from RNAcentral.